This 241-nucleotide ribosomal RNA is filed under the name uncultured bacterium. Its description in RNAcentral is "partial 16S ribosomal RNA". It matches the Rfam family "Bacterial small subunit ribosomal RNA", at positions 94 to 334 of the family's 1533-position model. The record is from RNAcentral.
AGCGGCGGACGGGUGAGUAACGCGUGGGUAACCGUGCCUCAUACAGGGGGAUAACAGUUGGAAACGGCUGCUAAUACCGCAUAAGCGCACAGUACCGCAUGGUACGGUGUGAAAAACUCCGGUGGUAUGAGAUGGACCCGCGUCUGAUUAGGUAGUUGGUGGGGUAACGGCCUACCAAGCCGACGAUCAGUAGCCGACCUGAGAGGGUGACCGGCCACAUUGGGACUGAGACACGGCCCGA